GAUGAACGCUGGCGGCGUGCCUAAUACAUGAAAGUCGAGCGAACGGACGAGAAGCUUGCUUCUCUGAUGUUAGCGGCGGACGGGUGAGUAACACGUGGAUAACCUACCUAUAAGACUGGGAUAACUUCGGGAAACCGGAGCUAAUACCGGAUAAUAUUUUGAACCGCAUGGUUCAAAAGUGAAAGACGGUCUUGCUGUCACUUAUAGAUGGAUCCGCGCUGCAUUAGCUAGUUGGUAAGGUAACGGCUUACCAAGGCAACGAUGCAUAGCCGACCUGAGAGGGUGAUCGGCCACACUGGAACUGAGACACGGUCCAGACUCCUACGGGAGGCAGCAGUAGGGAAUCUUCCGCAAUGGGCGAAAGCCUGACGGAGCAACGCCGCGUGAGUGAUGAAGGUCUUCGGAUCGUAAAACUCUGUUAUUAGGGAAGAACAUAUGUGUAAGUAACUGUGCACAUCUUGACGGUACCUAACCAGAAAGCCACGGCUAACUACGUG
Molecule: ribosomal RNA, 497 nt
Filed under: uncultured bacterium
Lineage: Bacteria
Description: partial 16S ribosomal RNA
Rfam family: Bacterial small subunit ribosomal RNA
Source: RNAcentral